AUGCAGUCGAACGGUGAACACGGAGCUUGCUCUGUGGGAUCAGUGGCGAACGGGUGAGUAACACGUGAGCAACCUGCCCCUGACUCUGGGAUAAGCGCUGGAAACGGCGUCUAAUACUGGAUAUGUGACGUGAUCGCAUGGUCUGCGUCUGGAAAGAAUUUCGGUUGGGGAUGGGCUCGCGGCCUAUCAGCUUGUUGGUGAGGUAAUGGCUCACCAAGGCGUCGACGGGUAGCCGGCCUGAGAGGGUGACCGGCCACACUGGGACUGAGACACGGCCCAGACUCCUACGGGAGGCAGCAGUGGGGAAUAUUGCACAAUGGGCGCAAGCCUGAUGCAGCAACGCCGCGUGAGGGACGACGGCCUUCGGGUUGUAAACCUCUUUUAGCAGGGAAGAAGCGAAAGUGACGGUACCUGCAGAAAAAGCGCCGGCUAACUACGUGCCAGCAGCCGCGGUAAUACGUAGGGCGCAAGCGUUAUCCGGAAUUAUUGGGCGUAAAGAGCUCGUAGGCGGUUUGUCGCGUCUGCUGUGAAAUCCGGAGGCUCAACCUCCGGCCUGCAGUGGGUACGGGCAGACUAGAGUGCGGUAGGGGAGAUUGGAAUUCCUGGUGUAGCGGUGGAAUGCGCAGAUAUCAGGAGGAACACCGAUGGCGAAGGCAGAUC
RNAcentral lists this ribosomal RNA (660 nucleotides) under Microbacterium maritypicum. Its description in RNAcentral is "bacterial SSU rRNA". It matches the Rfam family "Bacterial small subunit ribosomal RNA", at positions 55 to 727 of the family's 1533-position model. Lineage: Bacteria; Bacillati; Actinomycetota; Actinomycetes; Micrococcales; Microbacteriaceae. The record is from RNAcentral.